Molecule: ribosomal RNA, 222 nt
Filed under: uncultured bacterium
Lineage: Bacteria
Description: partial 16S ribosomal RNA
Rfam family: Bacterial small subunit ribosomal RNA
Source: RNAcentral
AAAUAGGUCUCAGUUCGGACUGUAGGCUGCAACUCGCCUACACGAAGUUGGAAUUGCUAGUAAUCGUGGAUCAGCAUGCCACGGUGAAUACGUUCCCGGGUCUUGUACACACCGCCCGUCACACCAUGGGAGCUGGUAACACCCGAAGUCAGUAGUCUAACCGCAAGGAGGACGCUGCCGAAGGUGGGAUUAGCGACUGGGGUGAAGUCGUAACAAGGUAGC